CCUACGGGAGGCAGCAGUGGGGAAUAUUGCACAAUGGGGGGAACCCUGAUGCAGCAACGCCGCGUGGGUGAAGAAGUAUUUCGGUAUGUAAAGCCCUAUCAGCAGGAGAGAGAAUGACGGUACCUGACUAAGAAGGCCCGGCUAACUACGUGCCAGCAGCCGCGGUAAUACGUAGGCGGCGAGCGUUAUCCGGAUGUACUGGGUGUAAAGGGAGCGUAGAUGGUCUUGUAAGUCUGUAGUGAAAGUUCGCGGCUCAACCGCGGAACUGCUUUGGAAACUGUGUAACUGGAGUGCAGGAGAGGUGAGCGGAAUUCGUGGUGUAGCGGUGAAAUGCGUAGAGAUCACGAGGAACACCGACUGCGAAGGCAGCUUACUGGUCAGUAACUGACGCUGAGGCUCGAAAGCGUGGGUAGCAAACAGGAUUAGAUACCCGAGUAGUC
Molecule: ribosomal RNA, 440 nt
Filed under: uncultured bacterium
Lineage: Bacteria
Description: partial 16S ribosomal RNA
Rfam family: Bacterial small subunit ribosomal RNA
Source: RNAcentral